GUGCCAGCCGCCGCGGUAACACCGGCAGCCCGAGUGAUGGCCGAUAUUAUUGGGCCUAAAGCGUCCGUAGCUGGCCGCGCAAGUUCGUCGGGAAAUCCACUCGCUUAACGAGUGGGCGUCCGGCGAAAACUGUGCGGCUUGGGACCGGAAGAUCCAAGGGGUACGUCCGGGGUAGGAGUGAAAUCCUGUAAUCCUGGACGGACCACCGAUGGCGAAAGCACCUUGGAAGGACGGAUCCGACAGUGAGGGACGAAAGCUAGGGUCUCGAACCGGAUUAGAUACCCGGGUAGUCC
This 293-nucleotide ribosomal RNA is filed under the name uncultured bacterium. Its description in RNAcentral is "partial 16S ribosomal RNA". It matches the Rfam family "Archaeal small subunit ribosomal RNA", at positions 455 to 747 of the family's 1478-position model. The record is from RNAcentral.